UCGGUUGAUCCUGCCGGACCUGACUGCUAUCGGAUUGAUACUAAGCCAUGCGAGUCUUUGUAGCAAUACAAGGCAUACGGCUCAGUAACGCGUAGUCAACCUAACCUAUGGACGGGAAUAACCUCGGGAAACUGAGAAUAAUGCCCGAUAGAACACUAUACCUGGAAUGGUUUGUGUUCCAAAUGAUUUAUCGCCGUAGGAUGGGACUGCGGCCUAUCAGUUUGUUGGUGAGGUAAUGGCCCACCAAGACUAUUACAGGUACGGGCUCUGAGAGGAGUAGCCCGGAGAUGGGUACUGAGACACGGACCCAGGCCCUAUGGGGCGCAGCAGGCGAGAAAACUUUGCAAUGUGCGAAAGCACGACAAGGUUAAUCCGAGUGGUUUCUGCUAAAGGAACCUUUUGUUAGUCAUAGAACCACUAACGAAUAAGGGGUGGGUAAGGACGGUGCCAGCCGCCGCGGUAAUACCGGCGCCUCAAGUGGUAGUCGCUUUUAUUGGGCCUAAAACGUCCGUAGCCGGUCUGAUACAUUCGUGGGUAAAUCAACUAGCUCAACUAGUUGAAUUCUGCGAGGACGGUCAGACUUGGGACCGGGAGAGGUGUGGGGUACGCUCAGGGUAGGGGUAAAAUCCUGUCAUCCUAAGCGGACCACCUGUUGCGAAGGCGCCACACUAGAACGGAUCCGACGGUCAGGGACGAAGCCUAGGGGCACGAACCGGAUUAGAUACCCGGGUAGUCCUAGGUGUAAACGCUGUGGACUUGAUGUUGGGGGCGCUCCGAGCGCUUCCAGUGUCGAAGCGAAGGUGAUAAGUCCACUGCCUGGGAAGUACGGUCGCAAGGCUGAAACUUAAAGGAAUUGGCGGGGGAGCACCGCAACCUGAGGAUUGUGCGGUUUAAUUGGAUUCAACGCCGGAAAACUCACCAUAGCCGACGGACAAAUGAAGAUCAGUGUAAUGAGCUUAUCGGAUUGUUCGAGAGGUAGUGCAUGGCCGCCGUCAGUUCGUACCGCAAGGCGUUCUGUUAAGUCAGAUAACGAACGAGACCCUCAUCCCUAUUUGCUAAGAUCUCUCCGGAGAUCACAGGACUAUAGGGAGACCGCUGGCGCGAAGUCAGAGGAAGGCGAGGGCAACGGUAGGUCAGUAUGCUCCGAAUGCUAUGGGCUACACGCGCAAUACAAAGGACAGGACAAUGGGCUGCUGCGCCGAAAGGCAUGAUAGCUAUCCCGAAACCUGUUCGUAGUUCGGAUUGAGGGCUGUAACUCGCCCUCAUGAAGCUGGAUUAGGUAGUAAUCGCGUCUCAAAAAGGCGCGGUGAAUAUGCCCCUGCUCCUUGCACACACCGCCCGUC
RNAcentral lists this ribosomal RNA (1343 nucleotides) under uncultured marine archaeon. Its description in RNAcentral is "partial 16S ribosomal RNA". It matches the Rfam family "Archaeal small subunit ribosomal RNA". The record is from RNAcentral.